CAGUCGCCACGGUAAUACGUAGGGUGCGAGCGUUAAUCGGAAUUACUGGGCGUAAAGCGUGCGCAGGCGGUUUUGUAAGACAGAGGUGAAAUCCCCGGGCUCAACCUGGGAACUGCCUUUGUGACUGCAAGGCUAGAGUACGGCAGAGGGGGAUGGAAUUCCGCGUGUAGCAGUGAAAUGCGUAGAUAUGCGGAGGAACACCGAUGGCGAAGGCAAUCCCCUGGGCCUGUACUGACGCUCAUGCACGAAAGCGUGGGGAGCAAACAGGAUUAGAUACCCGUGUAGUCCCUGUCUCUUAUAC
This 301-nucleotide ribosomal RNA is filed under the name uncultured bacterium. RNAcentral's name for it is "partial 16S ribosomal RNA". It matches the Rfam family "Bacterial small subunit ribosomal RNA", at positions 509 to 807 of the family's 1533-position model. The record is from RNAcentral.